UAGGGAAUCUUCGGCAAUGGACGGAAGUCUGACCGAGCAACGCCGCGUGAGUGAAGAAGGUUUUCGGAUCGUAAAGCUCUGUUGUAAGAGAAGAACGAGUGUGAGAGUGGAAGGUUCACACUGUGACGGUAUCUUACCAGAAAGGGACGGCUAACUACGUGCCAGCAGCCGCGGUAAUACGUAGGUCCCGAGCGUUGUCCGGAUUUAUUGGGCGUAAAGCGAGCGCAGGCGGUUAGAUAAGUCUGAAGUUAAAGGCUGUGGCUUAACCAUAGUACGCUUUGGAAACUGUUUAACUUGAGUGCAAGAGGGGAGAGUGGAAUUCCAUGUGUAGCGGUGAAAUGCGUAGAUAUAUGGAGGAACACCGGUGGCGAAAGCGGCUCUCUGGCUUGUAACUGACGCUGAGGCUCGAAAGCGUGGGGAGCAAACAGGAUUAGAUACCCUGGUAGUCCACGCCGUAAACGAUGAGUGCUAGGUGUUAGACCCUUUCCGGGGUUUAGUGCCGCAGCUAACGCAUUAAGCACUCCGCCUGGGGAGUACGACCGCAAGGUUGA
This 551-nucleotide ribosomal RNA is filed under the name uncultured bacterium. Its description in RNAcentral is "bacterial SSU rRNA". It matches the Rfam family "Bacterial small subunit ribosomal RNA", at positions 355 to 897 of the family's 1533-position model. The record is from RNAcentral.